AUUUUUAACAUCUUACAUUAUUAUGGUGCAUUUGUUACAAUUAAUCAAUCACGGUUCAUAAACUAUUAUUAACUUAGUUUAUUCAGAUUGUUAUUCAGAUUGCCUUAGUUUUUACCUAAUGUAUUUUUUCUGUUCCAGAAUUCCAUCUAGGAUGUCACAUUAAUUUAAUAGUCACAUCUCCUUAGGUUCCUCUUGAUAGAGAUUCUUAGACUUUUCUUGUUUUUGGUGACUUUGACAGUUUUGAAGAGUACCGGGCAGAUAUUGUGGAGGACAUCCCUUAGUAUGGUUAUAGAUGAUGUUUUCCUCAGAUUAGACUGGAGCGAUCUGUUCUUGGGAUGAAGACCACAGAGGCAACAGAAACAAUCUUUGUCCAACCAGCAAAAGAGGGAUUUGGAGAAAGAAAAUGAAGCAGCUUAUGGAACAGAAGGUCAGGAGAGUCCCAAGAAGAAGGAUCAUAUCUGGUUUCCUCUUCUGCCUCUCCCCAUGGUGUCUAGGAGAGUGCACACUC
Molecule: long non-coding RNA, 508 nt
Filed under: Homo sapiens (human)
Lineage: Eukaryota; Metazoa; Chordata; Mammalia; Primates; Hominidae
Description: HSALNT0370284
Source: RNAcentral